Molecule: ribosomal RNA, 497 nt
Filed under: uncultured bacterium
Lineage: Bacteria
Description: partial 16S ribosomal RNA
Rfam family: Bacterial small subunit ribosomal RNA
Source: RNAcentral
GAUGAACGCUGGCGGCGUGCCUAAUACAUGCAAGUCGAGCGAACAGAUGAGGAGCUUGCUCCUCUGAUGUUAGCGGCGGACGGGUGAGUAACACGUGGAUAACCUACCUAUAAGACUGGGAUAACUUCGGGAAACCGGGGCUAAUACCGGAUAAUAUAUUGAACCGCAUGGUUCAAUAGUGAAAGACGGUUUUGCUGUCACUUAUAGAUGGAUCCGCGCCGCAUUAGCUAGUUGGUAAGGUAACGGCUUACCAAGGCAACGAUGCGUAGCCGACCUGAGAGGGUGAUCGGCCACACUGGAACUGAGACACGGUCCAGACUCCUACGGGAGGCAGCAGUAGGGAAUCUUCCGCAAUGGGCGAAAGCCUGACGGAGCAACGCCGCGUGAGUGAUGAAGGUCUUCGGAUCGUAAAACUCUGUUAUUAGGGAAGAACAAAUGUGUAAGUAACUAUGCACGUCUUGACGGUACCUAAUCAGAAAGCCACGGCUAACUACGUG